RNAcentral lists this ribosomal RNA (301 nucleotides) under uncultured bacterium. Its description in RNAcentral is "partial 16S ribosomal RNA". It matches the Rfam family "Bacterial small subunit ribosomal RNA", at positions 509 to 807 of the family's 1533-position model. The record is from RNAcentral.
CAGCAGCCACGGUAAUACGUAGGGUGCAAGCGUUAAUCGGAAUUACUGGGCGUAAAGCGUGCGCAGGCGGUUAUAUAAGACAGAUGUGAAAUCCCCGGGCUCAACCUGGGAACUGCAUUUGUGACUGUAUAGCUAGAGUACGGCAGAGGGGGAUGGAAUUCCGCGUGUAGCAGUGAAAUGCGUAGAUAUGCGGAGGAACACCGAUGGCGAAGGCAAUCCCCUGGGCCUGUACUGACGCUCAUGCACGAAAGCGUGGGGAGCAAACAGGAUUAGAGACCCGCGUAGUCCCUGUCUCUUAUAC